GCCGGGGUGGCGAAAUGGCAGACGCGGCGGACUUAAAAUCCGCUGCCCGCGAGGGCGUGCGGGUUCAACCCCCGCCCCCGGCA
RNAcentral lists this transfer RNA (83 nucleotides) under Chloroflexota bacterium. Its description in RNAcentral is "Chloroflexi bacterium (groundwater metagenome) tRNA-Leu". It matches the Rfam family "tRNA". From Rfam's summary of the family: Transfer RNA (tRNA) molecules are approximately 80 nucleotides in length. Their secondary structure includes four short double-helical elements and three loops (D, anti-codon, and T loops). Lineage: Bacteria; Bacillati; Chloroflexota. The record is from RNAcentral.